GAUGAACGCUGGCGGCGUGCUUAAUACAUGCAAGUCGAACGGACAGGCUCCUGCUUGCCGGGGUACUCGAGUGGCGAACGGGUGAGUAACACGUGGGUGAUCUGCCCUGCACUUCGGGAUAAGCCUGGGAAACUGGGUAUCAUAUCGGAUAGGACAACAUUAUGGAUGUUGUGCUGGAAAGUUUUACGGUGUGGGUUGUGCUCGCUGAUUAUCAGCUUGUUGAUGGGGUAAUGGCCUACCAAGGCGCCGACGGGUAGCCGGCCAAAGAGGGGUGAUGGCCACAUUAGACCUCUGAGACGGCCCACACUCCUACGUCUGGCACCAGUGGCGAAAACUGGACAAAGCGCGCAAGCAUGAUUCAGGAAGGGCUCGGGGGCGAUAAAGGCCUUCGUUUUGUAAAAUCCUUUCACUAGGGACGAAGCCUUUUUGUGACGGUACCUGAAGAGAAAGCACCGGCUAACUACGUG
This 467-nucleotide ribosomal RNA is filed under the name uncultured bacterium. RNAcentral describes it as "partial 16S ribosomal RNA". It matches the Rfam family "Bacterial small subunit ribosomal RNA", at positions 28 to 507 of the family's 1533-position model. The record is from RNAcentral.